This 87-nucleotide transfer RNA is filed under the name Tissierella sp. MB52-C2. RNAcentral's name for it is "tRNA-Leu". It matches the Rfam family "tRNA". From Rfam's summary of the family: Transfer RNA (tRNA) molecules are approximately 80 nucleotides in length. Their secondary structure includes four short double-helical elements and three loops (D, anti-codon, and T loops). The record is from RNAcentral. Lineage: Bacteria; Bacillati; Bacillota; Tissierellia; Tissierellales; Tissierellaceae.
GCGAGUAUGCUGGAAUUGGCAGACAGGCAUGUUUGAGGGGCAUGUGUCAGAAAUGAUGUGUGGGUUCAACUCCCACUACUCGCACCA